This 296-nucleotide ribosomal RNA is filed under the name uncultured bacterium. RNAcentral describes it as "partial 16S ribosomal RNA". It matches the Rfam family "Bacterial small subunit ribosomal RNA", at positions 775 to 1067 of the family's 1533-position model. The record is from RNAcentral.
GGAUUAGAUACCCUGGUAGUCCACGCCGUAAACGAUGAGUGCUAGAUGUCGGGCAGCAUGCUGUUCGGUGUCGCAGCUAACGCAUUAAGCACUCCGCCUGGGAAGUACGGCCGCAAGGUUAAAACUCAAAGGAAUUGACGGGGGCCCGCACAAGCGGUGGAGCAUGUGGUUUAAUUCGAUGCAACGCGCAGAACCUUACCAGCCCUUGACAUCCCGGUCGCGGUUUGUGGAGACACUUACCUUCAGUUAGGCUGGACCGGAGACAGGUGUUGCAUGGCUGUCGUCAGCUCGUGCUG